UACGAGGGGUGCAAGCGUUAUUCGGAAUAAUUGGGCGUAAAGGGUGCGUAGGUGGCAUUCUAAGUCAACUGUUAAAUCUCCCGGCCUAACUGGGAACAUGCAGUAGAUACUGGUAUGCUAGAGGGUGGAAGAGAGAAGUGGAAUUCUCGGAGUAGCGGUAAAAUGCGUAGAUCUCGAGAGGAACACCAAUGGCGAAGGCAGCUUCUUGGUCCAUACCUGACACUGAGGCACGAAAGCGUGGGGAGCAAACAGG
RNAcentral lists this ribosomal RNA (253 nucleotides) under uncultured bacterium. RNAcentral's name for it is "partial 16S ribosomal RNA". It matches the Rfam family "Bacterial small subunit ribosomal RNA", at positions 524 to 776 of the family's 1533-position model. The record is from RNAcentral.